Molecule: ribosomal RNA, 165 nt
Filed under: Pleosporineae sp.
Lineage: Eukaryota; Fungi; Ascomycota; Dothideomycetes; Pleosporales
Description: partial large subunit ribosomal RNA
Rfam family: Eukaryotic large subunit ribosomal RNA
Source: RNAcentral
CGGCAACAGCUCAAAUUUGAAAUCUGGCUCUUUUAGAGUCCGAGUUGUAAUUUGCAGAGGGCGCUUUGGCGUUGGCAGCGGUCCAAGUUCCUUGGAACAGGACGUCACAGAGGGUGAGAAUCCCGUACGUGGUCGCUGGCCUACGCCGUGUAAAGCCCCUUCGAC